GUGGGGAAUCUUAGACAAUGGGGGAAACCCUGAUCUAGCCAUGCCGCGUGAGCGAUGAAGGCCUUAGGGUUGUAAAGCUCUUUCAGCUGGGAAGAUAAUGACUGUACCAGCAGAAGAAGCCCCGGCUAACUCCGUGCCAGCAGCCGCGGUAAUACGGAGGGGGCUAGCGUUGUUCGGCAUUACUGGGCGUAAAGCGCACGUAGGCGGACCGGAAAGUCAGAGGUGAAAUCCCAGGGCUCAACCUUGGAACUGCCUUUGAAACUCCUGGUCUUGAGGUCGAGAGAAGUGAGUGGAAUUCCGAGUGGAGAGGUGAAAUUCGUAGAUAUUCGGAGGAACACCAGUGGCGAAGGCGGCUCACUGGCUCGAUACUGACGCUGAGGUGCGAAAGCGUGGGGAGCAAACAGGAUUAGAAACCCGAGUAGUCC
RNAcentral lists this ribosomal RNA (425 nucleotides) under uncultured bacterium. RNAcentral's name for it is "partial 16S ribosomal RNA". It matches the Rfam family "Bacterial small subunit ribosomal RNA", at positions 354 to 796 of the family's 1533-position model. The record is from RNAcentral.